CUACAAAGUCUGGCUGACCUUAGUACAGACGACCUCAGACAGUUUUCUGGAGUAGAAGAGAAUCUUACAUCUCAUCAGAGACAGAAACUUGCUAAAACUCACCUCACCAAAAUCGUGCACUACAAAGAGGAACAACUGCAGUGCUUUGCUUACAUCUUGGAGAACUGUCUGUUUAUGUUGUGGCGCCACCUGGAGUAUUAUUUUAUUCACUGCGUUCCUGUCAAUCAGCAGACAUCUACGUACCCGAGUCAGACUCGCAGACACACUCAACUCAGGAGGCUUCAAGGUUAGACAGGCUGUUUGAGUUUACGAGUUGGCGAAUCUGAUGCAGACUCUUUACCAGACAUAGACAGACAGCUUAUGAUGGGGGUGACCAGUGAAGAUAUAGAGACACUGAAGCAGACAGCAAACUCUGUUAUACAUGACUCACUCCUCAGAAAGAUACAAAAGAUUG
Long non-coding RNA from Saccostrea cuccullata (small rock oyster), 454 nucleotides. RefSeq lists it as uncharacterized. The record is from RefSeq and is a predicted model, not a curated record. The transcript has 4 exons. NCBI's taxonomy places the organism in Eukaryota, Metazoa, Mollusca, Bivalvia, Ostreida, Ostreidae.